Molecule: ribosomal RNA, 214 nt
Filed under: uncultured bacterium
Lineage: Bacteria
Description: partial 16S ribosomal RNA
Rfam family: Bacterial small subunit ribosomal RNA
Source: RNAcentral
AGGCCGUUCUCAGUUCGGAUCGGAGUCUGCAACCCGACUCCGUGAAGCUGGAUUCGCUAGUAAUCGCGCAUCAGCCAUGGCGCGGUGAAUACGUUCCCGGGCCUUGUACACACCGCCCGUCAAGCCAUGGAAGCCGGGGGCGCUUGAAGUGCGUUGCCGCAAGGCGCGCCCUAGAGCGAAACCGGUGACUGGGGCUAAGUCGUAACAAGGUAAC